GGCCUGGUGGUCUAGGGGUAUGAUUCUCGCUUUGGGUGCGAGAGGUCCCGGGUUCAAAUCCCGGUCAGGCCC
This 72-nucleotide transfer RNA is filed under the name Schistocephalus solidus. It matches the Rfam family "tRNA". Rfam says of the family: Transfer RNA (tRNA) molecules are approximately 80 nucleotides in length. Their secondary structure includes four short double-helical elements and three loops (D, anti-codon, and T loops). The record is from Rfam by way of RNAcentral. Lineage: Eukaryota; Metazoa; Platyhelminthes; Cestoda; Diphyllobothriidea; Diphyllobothriidae.